Molecule: long non-coding RNA, 452 nt
Organism: Poeciliopsis prolifica (blackstripe livebearer)
Lineage: Eukaryota; Metazoa; Chordata; Actinopteri; Cyprinodontiformes; Poeciliidae
Exons: 4
Source: RefSeq, a predicted model, not a curated record
GAGUCCUGUAGUAGAACCUGCUCAGUAUCCCAAAGAGUUUAUGGAUAUCUUUAAAAGCAUCCCACAACCACAAGCUGACAAAGAGCCAAAGCGAUAUGAUGACAUUGCUAUGCCAAAAAUCUUAAAGAGGAAUGCAGACCCGUGCACCAUCACAGGCUGCAAGUGGUUCAAAUCCGGAGAGUACGUCUACAUACCGUACUACAUCGACACUAAUUACUGUGCCACGCCCCUUUUACAGGAAGUCCCGCCUUAGAUGAACGGAAGUCCCGCCUUAGAUGAACGGAAGUCCCGCCUUAGAUGAACGGAAGUCCCGCCUUAGAACACCGGAAGUCCCGCCUUAGAUGACCGGAAGUCCCGCCUUACACCCACCCCAUCCCUCCCUUCCUCCCUUUCGAAUGUGACGAGGUGCCUCCUCCUCCUCCUCCUCCUCCUCCUCCUCCUCCUCCUCCUCC